RNAcentral lists this long non-coding RNA (452 nucleotides) under Olea europaea (common olive). RNAcentral describes it as "long non-coding RNA (OEUR_LNC005554)". Lineage: Eukaryota; Viridiplantae; Streptophyta; Magnoliopsida; Lamiales; Oleaceae. The record is from RNAcentral.
AAAAAUUAAAAUGAAUUGUGUCAAACUAAGAGGGCUUGAAUGAAAAUAAAGAAAAUACCAUGAAACAUGCGAGCCUCAACGAAACACGUUGCAUACUUAUCUAUUCACACAUCUAGAAGGCAUAACCUUUCCUACGAAUAGAAUCCAAUCUCAUUCGUCCGAUUAUUCCGCCCUACCCCAACACCGAAGUCAACGUUUCACGCGUAUCCCACCGUCAAAAUAUCUGCCGACCUUUCAUUUAUAGCCGUAGGAUCAUCCCACCCCCUCAAUAAAUAACGAUCUUAUCUCUUUGUUCUGUUAUAUUGUUCUCUUAUCAUUUCUUCAGCUAUUUGUCGGUCGGCGUUUAAUCCAGAUCUAUUCGUGGUCGUUUGUUUUCUUACAUUUCUGUAUUAAUAUACUCGUAGAUCCAAAAAAGGUCUACGUUAUGAGUAUGGCUUCGAUAGCUAUNNNNN